Diorhabda carinulata is the source of this 1190-nucleotide RNA transcript. RefSeq lists it as uncharacterized. The transcript has 6 exons. Lineage: Eukaryota; Metazoa; Arthropoda; Insecta; Coleoptera; Chrysomelidae. The record is from RefSeq and is a predicted model, not a curated record.
AUAGACGUAGAUGGUUUAUAUCCAACAACUUUGAAUAAUGAUCUGAUUCAUUGAAUUGAUAAGAUAGUAACUUUUACAAAUCCUAUCAAGGUAGAGUUUUUAGGUUAUGUAGCUAGUGUUUCAAAAUGUUGAUAUUAUUUUCAACUAUCUUAAUAUUCUCACUUGUUUCUAGCGAAACUGUAAUUUUGGAGGAAUGCAUGAAAAACGCCCAAAAUGAAUUCGACAACGCAUUGUUGAAUCCUCCUAAAUUUACAGUAUCCGAUGAAUUUAAAGACAUCAAAGAUCUUAUAAAUCUUAUUAAAAUAAUAAUUUUCGACAUAAAACCAACAAAAAAAUUAGACGAGCUAUUUGGCGAUGCUGUAAAUAAAUUGAAGAAACUACCAAAUCAAUUGAAAUUAUUCCGAGAAGCAUACGACGUUCUUAAAAAAAUUGAAGCAAGCGCCGAUAAAUUACAAAAACAAAAAGUGUUUAACCAAGACACUGAAAAAACUUGCUCUGCAGCUAAAAAUAGAUAUGAUAAUAUUAGUAAGGACCUAGAAGAAGUUCGAAAACUGGGAUCACAAGUGAAUGCAACAAUAGUUAAAUGGAAUAUAGAUAGAAUAAACGAAGAAAGUUUCAAAGUUAAAAAAUCGUUGGAUGAACUAAAAGUUCCAAUUAAUCUCGAUGAAAAAUAUUUAUGUGAAAAAAACAUACUGGAAAUAUUUAAAGCGAUCAAAGAAGUAUCUUUUAAUAUAAAAAAACUGUUGGAAAUAAUAAAAGAAAAUAUCAGAUCAGAAUUACAAGAGCUCACGAAUAAAUUAAAGCCUCCUCCAAUAAAUGAAGAUAUACCCGAUAUGCCUUUCACUAAACUACAGUUACAGGAUGCUAUCAAAUAUGUUAAACGAAACUUGAAAAAAGUAAGUCAUUUAUAAUUAUGCCUUGGUCAAUUAUAUCACAUUUUAGUGCUUCUUUGAGAUUUUCGCUUUUGUGAAUUUAAUAUUAUUGAGGAAAACCAAAUUCACCUUUUCGGAAAAGCGGAAAAAUUGCGUGAUUUAAUAGAAAAGAAGAAAAUAACCGAAUCUGAUUUUGAAAAUCUUGAAAAAAUCGUAUGUAAUCUCCACAAAAACGAUGUUUGUAAAAUUGUUAUACCUGUACCUGUUGAAAAUUAAUUUUUUUGUAAUAAAUUUAUUAAUUAAAUGGAAUUUAUACCA